This is a small nucleolar RNA of Anolis carolinensis (green anole), 76 nucleotides long. Lineage: Eukaryota; Metazoa; Chordata; Lepidosauria; Squamata; Anolidae. The record is from Ensembl.
CAGAUACAAUGAUGAUCACAUAGUUCAGCAGAUGGAACAGUGCUGAUCUGUCUUUCGCUCCUAUCUGAUGUAUCUG